GGCCGCGGGAAUUCGAUUCAGGCCUAACACAUGCAAGUCGAACGCCCUGGCAACAGGGAGUGGCAGACGGGUGCGUAACGCGUGGGAACAUGCCCUUUGGUUCGGAAUAACUCAGGGAAACUUGAGCUAAUACCGGAUAAGCCCGAGAGGGGAAAGAUUUAUCGCCGAAGGAUUGGCCCGCGUCUGAUUAGCUAGUUGGUGAGGUAAUGGCUCACCAAGGCGACGAUCAGUAGCUGGUCUGAGAGGAUGAUCAGCCACACUGGGACUGAGACACGGCCCAGACUCCUACGGGAGGCAGCAGUGGGGAAUAUUGGAAAGGGGGCGCAAGCCUGAUCCAGCCAUGCCGCGUGAGUGAGGGGGCCUUAGGGUUGUAAAGCUCUUUACCCGGGAAGAUAAUGAC
This 400-nucleotide ribosomal RNA is filed under the name uncultured bacterium. RNAcentral's name for it is "bacterial SSU rRNA". It matches the Rfam family "Bacterial small subunit ribosomal RNA", at positions 39 to 455 of the family's 1533-position model. The record is from RNAcentral.